GAUGAACGCUGGCGGCGUGCUUAACACAUGCAAGUCGAACGAAGCACCUUAUUCUGAUUUCUUCGGAAUGAAAAAUUUGGUGACUGAGUGGCGGACGGGUGAGUAACGCGUGGGUAACCUGCCUCAUACAGGGGGAUAACAGUUAGAAAUGACUGCUAAUACCGCAUAAGACCACAGCACCGCAUGGUGCAGGGGUAAAAACUCCGGUGGUAUGAGAUGGACCCGCGUCUGAUGAGGUAGUUGGUGGGGUAACGGCCUACCAAGCCGACGAUCAGUAGCCGACCUGAGAGGGUGACCGGCCACAUUGGGACUGAGACACGGCCCGAACUCCUACGGGAGGCAGCAGUGGGGGAUAUUGCACAAUGGGGGAAACCCUGAUGCAGCGACGCCGCGUGAGCGAUGAAGUAUUUCGGUAUGUAAAGCUCUAUCAGCAGGGAAGAAAAUGACGGUACCUGACUAAGAAGCACCGGCUAAAUACGUGCCAGCAGCCGCGGUAA
RNAcentral lists this ribosomal RNA (497 nucleotides) under uncultured bacterium. RNAcentral describes it as "partial 16S ribosomal RNA". It matches the Rfam family "Bacterial small subunit ribosomal RNA", at positions 28 to 523 of the family's 1533-position model. The record is from RNAcentral.